GUGUUAUAUGAAGGGAGAGGCUAGCCCUCCCCUUUAGAAGGAUGGAAGAGAUCCUAGUGGCCUUUACAACACAUGCUCUCUCAUUC
RNAcentral lists this small nuclear RNA (86 nucleotides) under Ornithorhynchus anatinus (platypus). Lineage: Eukaryota; Metazoa; Chordata; Mammalia; Monotremata; Ornithorhynchidae. The record is from RNAcentral.